UACGUAGGGUGCGAGCGUUGUCCGGAAUUAUUGGGCGUAAAGGGCGCGUAGGCGGUGCCACAAGUCACCUGUGAAAUCUCCGGGCUUAACUCGGACCUGCAGGCGAAACUGUGGUGCUGGAGUGUGGGAGAGGUGCGUGGAAUUCCCGGUGUAGCGGUGAAAUGCGUAGAUAUCCGGAGGAACACCAGUGGCGAAGGCGGCCUUCUGGGAUGAUCCUGACGCUGAGGAG
RNAcentral lists this ribosomal RNA (229 nucleotides) under uncultured bacterium. RNAcentral's name for it is "partial 16S ribosomal RNA". It matches the Rfam family "Bacterial small subunit ribosomal RNA", at positions 524 to 753 of the family's 1533-position model. The record is from RNAcentral.